Setaria italica (foxtail millet) is the source of this 1003-nucleotide RNA transcript. It is a transcript of the gene named monothiol glutaredoxin-S7, chloroplastic, with no coding region annotated. Lineage: Eukaryota; Viridiplantae; Streptophyta; Magnoliopsida; Poales; Poaceae. The transcript is spliced from 3 exons. The record is from RefSeq and is a predicted model, not a curated record.
AGAAAUUACUAAUCUGCCACGUGCGAGUAAUUCCGCUCCGUCCGAGUCGUCCAGCAGACCACCACACCCACGGCUCCGUACCAUCCGUCGCCGCCGGCGCGCGCUCACCAGACGCCAGCCACCGCGAUGGCCGCCUCCGCCACGGCCUCGAGGCCUCUCGCCGGGGCCUACGUCCCGCUCCCCCUCCCCGCGCGGGGGCUGCCGUCUAGGGUCGCCUUGCUCCCGCGGGCUCCGCCGGCGGUUCAGGGCCUCACCCUCGACCGGCCCGCGCAGCUCUCGGUGCGAGCGCGCGGCCGGUCGGUGCGGUGCCUCGCGGGGCUCAGCCCGGAGAUGCGGGCGACGCUGGACAAGGUGGUGGGGUCGAGCAAGGUGGUGCUGUUCAUGAAGGGGACCAAGGACUUCCCGCAGUGCGGAUUCUCCCACACCGUCGUGCAGAUCCUCCGCUCGCUGGACGUGCCCUUCGAGACGCUCGACGUGCUCGCCAACGAAGCGCUCCGGCAGGGGCUCAAGGAGUACUCCAGCUGGCCAACCUUCCCGCAGCUCUACAUCGAUGGCGAAUUCUUCGGCGGAUGCGACAUCACCGUUGACUGUAGGGUUGAUGAACAUGCUGCUCCUUCUGAACACCUACUUGUCUAGUUGAACACAUGAAGUCAUUGUUAAAAGUAUGUGGGAUGCUUAUGUACUGAAGUUAAGUUGAGUGGUCUAAAUUUGCGGUACUGAACUUGAGCCAGAGGAAAAUAUACACAAAGCGCAAAAAUCUAGGCAUAUAAGAGUGGAGAACUGCAGGAAACUUUAGAGAAAGCGAUGUGUUCUUAGAGACCAUUGAACCAGGAGCACACAACAUACAAUUAAUCAAAAUGUUGUAGUAUUUGCUGUAAAAUUCAGGCAUGUUAAAGAACUGAAGAUGCUCAGUGCACUUUCAUUGAAAUAAGAUUUUCUGCAAUUUGUGAUUUUAAUCGUACAGUUUCCAUUGCAAUGUUAUGCUACUGGAUUGUUUGUUCCA